RNAcentral lists this ribosomal RNA (253 nucleotides) under uncultured bacterium. Its description in RNAcentral is "partial 16S ribosomal RNA". It matches the Rfam family "Bacterial small subunit ribosomal RNA", at positions 524 to 776 of the family's 1533-position model. The record is from RNAcentral.
UACGUAGGGGGCUAGCGUUGUCCGGAAUCAUUGGGCGUAAAGCGCGUGUAGGCGGUUCGGUAAGUCCGCUGUGAAAGUCGGGGGCUCAACCCUCGAAUGCCGGUGGAUACUGUCGAACUAGAGUGCGGAAGAGGCGAGUGGAAUUCCUGGUGUAGCGGUGAAAUGCGCAGAUAUCAGGAGGAACACCAAUUGCGAAGGCAGCUCGCUGGGGCGUAACUGACGCUGAGACGCGAAAGCGUGGGGAGCAAACAGG